CUUUUCACCAUUUGAGUCAGGAGAAAUUAACAUGGAUGACAACUUGACUGUAUUAACCCUCUUUGUGAUCAAUCUGGCCAAAGGCAAUCUUUCGUUAAUGGUCCAUGAUCUUAGGCCUCUCUUCGAACUCUGUAGCUCGCCCUUUGUUCAACAACAUACUCUUUCUUUUUAAUCACUAGCUUUUUGAUGCCUUCUUUUUUUUAGCUCGACGACGUCGUUCCUCCUUCAAUUUUGUCACUANUGCUCUCACCCGCUGCUUAGCAUUAUGAACUUGUUUCUCGCAAUUUAGGUAAGGAGAAAUUAACUUGAAUGNCGACUUGAUUGUCUUAACCCCCUUCUUGAUCAAUUUGGCUAAGGGAAUCUUUCACUCAUAGUCCAUGAUCUCGAGCCUCUCUCCAGGCGAACAACGUUACCACAAGUGUCCCUAGCAUGAAGCAUUUCAGUAAAGGUUCAUUCUUCAUAUGAUCUGCAAUGUGUCAAGAGAUGCAGGCGUUGGUGACCUUCUCACAGGAUACCCAAAUUGUUUUUUUUUUCU
Molecule: long non-coding RNA, 535 nt
Filed under: Vigna radiata
Lineage: Eukaryota; Viridiplantae; Streptophyta; Magnoliopsida; Fabales; Fabaceae
Description: long non-coding RNA (VRAD_LNC003046)
Source: RNAcentral